This 465-nucleotide ribosomal RNA is filed under the name uncultured bacterium. Its description in RNAcentral is "partial 16S ribosomal RNA". It matches the Rfam family "Bacterial small subunit ribosomal RNA", at positions 339 to 795 of the family's 1533-position model. The record is from RNAcentral.
CUACGGGAUGCUCCAGUCGAGAAUCUUUGGCAAUGAGCGAAAGCUUGACCAUGCGACGCCGCGUGAGGGAUGAAGGUCUUCGGAUUGUAAACCUCUGUCACGGGGGAGGAACAGUAGUAAAGUGAAUAGUUUUACUAUUUGACAGUACCCUGUAAGGAAGCCACGGCCAACUCCGUGCCAGCAGCCGCGGUAAUACGGAGGUGGCAAGCGUUGUUCGGAAUUACUGGGUGUAAAGAGCGUGUAGGCGUUUUAGUAAGUCGGGGGUGAAAUCCCUCGGCUCAACCUAGGAACUGCCUCCGAUACUGCUAAAAUUGAGUUUGGGAUAGGAGAGUGGAAUUUCCGGUGUAAGGGUGAAAUCUGUAGAUAUCGGAAAGAACACCAGUGGCGAAGGCGACUCUCUGGCCCAAAACUGACGCUGAGACGCGAAAGCUAGGGGAGCGAACAGGAUUAGAUACCCCCGUAGUC